RNAcentral lists this transfer RNA (74 nucleotides) under Litorimonas taeanensis. RNAcentral's name for it is "Robiginitomaculum sp. G5 tRNA". It matches the Rfam family "tRNA". From Rfam's summary of the family: Transfer RNA (tRNA) molecules are approximately 80 nucleotides in length. Lineage: Bacteria; Pseudomonadati; Pseudomonadota; Alphaproteobacteria; Maricaulales; Robiginitomaculaceae. The record is from Rfam by way of RNAcentral.
GGGGGGAUAGCUCAGUUGGUUAGAGCCGUCCGCUCAUAACGGAUUGGUCGGGGGUUCGAGUCCCUCUCCCCCUA